Molecule: ribosomal RNA, 253 nt
Filed under: uncultured bacterium
Lineage: Bacteria
Description: partial 16S ribosomal RNA
Rfam family: Bacterial small subunit ribosomal RNA
Source: RNAcentral
UACGGGGGGGGCAAGCGUUGUUCGGAAUUACUGGGCGUAAAGGGCUCGUAGGCGGCCAACUAAGUCAUACGUGAAAUCCCCAGGCUCAACCUGGGAACUGCGUCUGAUACUGGUUGGCUUGAAUCCGGGAGAGGGAUGCAGAAUUCCAGGUGUAGCGGUGAAAUGCGUAGAUAUCUGGAGGAACACCAAUGGCGAAGGCAGCUCGCUGGGACGUGACUGACGCUGAGACGCGAAAGCGUGGGGAGCAAACAGG